This 437-nucleotide long non-coding RNA is filed under the name Vigna radiata. Its description in RNAcentral is "long non-coding RNA (VRAD_LNC015090)". The record is from RNAcentral. Lineage: Eukaryota; Viridiplantae; Streptophyta; Magnoliopsida; Fabales; Fabaceae.
AAUGAAUCAAUAAACCUGACAACACUUGCAUUCCAUGUGUUAGGGUGAGCUUGAGAAGGGAUUUGAAUUGUUUCGAAAAGGGAGGAAGAGAGUAUAGGGAGAAGACGUGACCAUUGACCAACAAAGGAAAGCAAAGGCAAAGGUAUGGGUACCUAAAUUCGUAUGGUCUUGGAUGGUUUGGAACUGAUUGUGAAGUAUCUAAGGGGUGUGCUCUUAUCUUGAAACUGAUUGUGAAGUAUGGUUUGGAACUGAUUGUACAUUUAAAAUACAUAUUGAAUUUCUUAAAAUUCUGCCACAUACCACUAAGAUAAGACUGAAAAUUUCUAAAAUUUCUUGUUGACUGUUGAAGAAUAGAUUUACUUCCUUAGAUAUGCAUAAGUUAAAGGAAACACUUGAUAUAGAUGAUGAAAUUACAGUGUUUUAGAUUAUAUUUAAUC